Molecule: ribosomal RNA, 497 nt
Filed under: uncultured bacterium
Lineage: Bacteria
Description: partial 16S ribosomal RNA
Rfam family: Bacterial small subunit ribosomal RNA
Source: RNAcentral
GAUGAACGCUGGCGGCGUGCCUAAUACAUGCAAGUCGAGCGAACAGACGAGGAGCUUGCUCCUCUGACGUUAGCGGCGGACGGGUGAGUAACACGUGGAUAACCUACCUAUAAGACUGGGAUAACUUCGGGAAACCGGAGCUAAUACCGGAUAAUAUAUUGAACCGCAUGGUUCAAUAGUGAAAGACGGUUUUGCUGUCACUUAUAGAUGGAUCCGCGCCGCAUUAGCUAGUUGGUAAGGUAACGGCUUACCAAGGCAACGAUGCGUAGCCGACCUGAGAGGGUGAUCGGCCACACUGGAACUGAGACACGGUCAAGACUCCUACGGGAGGCAGCAGUAGGGAAUCUUCCGCAAAGGGCGAAAGCCUGACGGAGCAACGCCGCGUGAGUGAUGAAGGUCUUCGGAUCGUAAAACUCUGUUAUUAGGGAAGAACAAAUGUGUAAGUAACUAUGCACGUCUUGACGGUACCUAAUCAGAAAGCCACGGCUAACUACGUG